Zalophus californianus (California sea lion) is the source of this 3175-nucleotide long non-coding RNA. RefSeq lists it as uncharacterized. NCBI's taxonomy places the organism in Eukaryota, Metazoa, Chordata, Mammalia, Carnivora, Otariidae. The transcript is spliced from 4 exons. The record is from RefSeq and is a predicted model, not a curated record.
GAAUCGCAGGGGAUUUGGUGAAAAACUGGUAUUUCCUAGUAUGUGAAAACUGAAAAGAAAGCCCCGCCCAUCAGUCUUCGGCGGCUGCGCAGAGUGUCCCCCCCUUGCCCUCGCCCACGAAUUGAAACAAAAACUCUACACGUUGUCUCCAAGCGGACGGAAAUGGCUUAUCUCUUUGGUUAUUGGCAAAUCAUCUAUUAAGCACCCUGUAUGGGCCAGACCCCAUUGCCAAACUUAACAAUAGAGGUAUUAAGGAUGUGGUCCUCACCAUUAAUUGCUCACAGCCCAGCAGGAAGAUGGACACAGAAAAAAAUAAUUGCCGUACAAUGCAGCGAGCGUGUCCAUAGACCUUCACCCUGAAGUCGCCUGUUUUACCGAUGGCGUGCAUCAACGACAUUGAUUGGUUGUCUCGUUGACUGAUGGAUACCCAAGCCUCAUUCCUAAAAGGGACAUUAUCAAUAUGGCUAAUCAAAUGGUAUAGCAAAAGAGCAAAUGGACAGAUUAAGUAGACCUUAGCUACAUCUCCUACUUUCUGCCAAGGAGGAUAAAUUUCUAUCUCAACCCUUCCAUGAAGAGCAGAUACAGUGCAUUGAUAGAGCUGUGAUAGCUUCCCUUUCCAGGCACAGAUAUUAGAUAGCUUGUCUUUACCCCACCACCACUACCUUUAAAAAAUAUAUAUAUAUAUAUAAUCAGGGAGCCAAUACAUGGGGGGAAACAUUAUUGUUACCUAAUAUUUGGGAGUGGGGUUGGGGGAAGGAAUAGGGGAGUUGCUGACAGGGCUCCUGGCCCCCAGAGGCUGCAAGAGAAAUAUUCGCAUGCACAGUUCAGACAUAACUGAGUUCCCAUGAUCCCUAUCCGCAUCAGUUAGGAUGCUUUGGGCUAUAAGUAACUGAAUAUUCAAUUAACGUGGCUUAAACAGGAGGGUUUAUCUUCACUACAUAACAGUAAAUCCAGAGGCACUGGUUCCAAGCGAGGGACAAGGGUGGUAUUCAAAACACUUGACAGUCGGUCUCACACAGCACUGACAGAUCAGGACCAGUGGCCGACCAGACAGCUCAGCGACACACAGCGCUGCUGCCUCUGUCCGUCCGCGGAAUCCUGUCCCUGGCUCCACGUUGCUUCCACAGCUCAGUGAUGUCAGAACUUAGGUCAGCUUGAAAAGAUUCUCUUGCCCUUGCCUUUGCGGUGAGCUGCUGAGUGCCAUGCCCCAAAACAUCACUGCAACACCUAACAACGAAGCCUAACAGCACGAAGGAGAGAGUGAAGGUUUACCUCGGUGCAUCUCUCUUUUUAUGAGGGGGAAAUCUCUCCCAGAAGCCCUCAGUGGACUUCCUCUUAAGUACGAUUGGCCAGAAGCUGGGUCACAUGUCCAUCCUUAAACCAAUCACUAGCACAGGAACGAGGGCAUGCCGUGGUUGGCUUGGACCAAUCAUCAUUCAUUCUCUGGGGCUGGGGCGAGCUUGCCGCCUUGCCAAAACAUGUAGCUUUUGCUACCUGUACUAGAACCAAAGUCAUGUGCCGUUGGCAUGGAAGAAAGCACAGCAAGGAACAGCUUUUGUCAGGCAACCAGCAGUAUCUGCUACAUCACCCUUUUGGUGAGAAGCAGGUUUCCAUUUCCCCAAUACGAUCACCAUAGGGUGGAGGUGGGGUGAUCGGAGAAUCUGAUCACCCCACCAGUGCUGCUCCUUUUCUCUCAGAGAUGGAGCCAUCAGCCUGUGCGGGCGGCCCUAGAGAUCUUCAAGGUCAUAAUUUAAGACCAACUCAUACAUACAAGGGAGACGGCUGGGGACGGCCUGAGUUUCCUGAAGGAGGCAGCCAUUCUGCAAAACUCAGAAGUGUGAAGCGGGAGGGUCAGUGAGCCCCAGGCUCCUGGAUAACAGGGACCCUGUUCUGCUAGCUACAGACCCCUGAGAUCCGAGUCUAGCAAGAAGCCAGGAAUUACUGCACAAAGGAGGACCCAAGGACCCAGACAACCCAUCCAGCUCUGGUCCAGCCUCUUGCCAUCACAUGUAGACAGCAGCCCGGGAAUCUUCUAUGCCAGGAGGGCCUGCCUCACCCUAGCCUCUCUGAGGCUGAUCACCCGCCGCUCACCCAGUCCUCUUGCACUUCUCCCAAAGCCCAGAGCCUCGCCACCUCUCUGGGCCAUCCCGGUUUAGAAUGCAGAUGGACAGGGGUUGGGCAUGGCCAGGGGAGAUAGCCUUGUUCGGUUGCCAUGUCUGCAAGAGACAGUUUUGAACAAGCAAAUGUUUUGUCCCUUCAAGGUGCACAUAGAGGCAGGGCCCAAAUGUCCUGUGGCCUCUAUGAAGAGAUGAAUUGGUAACUGUUCUCACUUCUUGAGGCAGCUUACUAAGAAACCAAAUUGCCACCCCAAGGCUGGGCUGGCCAGCUCCCUAGACACCAGCCCCAAGCCUGGGCCUCUGAGUUCAGGCUCUGGGGGUUCCUUCCCCUUCUUCGGAAAGUAUGAUCAGUAAAGGUGAUUUCAUGGCCCACCAGGACAGUGCCAGCUCAGUCUGGAGAGCAGGCCUGCCCUGGGUGGGCCCUCUUGUGGCCCUCAGCCUCUAGUGGCAACGCGUGAAGGGGUUUACUGCCUUGGGGGAUCAGGGCAGAAACUGGAACCACCUUUCUAAAUGGCCUGACACAGCAGGCCUGGUUGCACAGGCCUGACAGGGCACACACGUGGUCAACGAGCAAGGGGAACCUUCUCAUUUCAGUCCCCACACAUAGGGUUGUGUGUUAUUUCUAGAAGGAUUACGCAGGCAGCCCUGUCCCGCGGUAUUGGCUUUCAGUGCCACGCUCAAUGAAGUAGAAAACCUGAAAGGAUCCCACAGAUGCAGUACCACUCCAACUCCAUGUAGACUAUGGGCCAUCCUUUGAAUGCCAGCUCUGAAAGUCAUGGCGAAAUGGGCCUUAGAAGCCCAGCACUAACCCAGUUAAACCAUUAUGGAACUGUAGGUUCAAAUCUCAAUCAACUCCCCUUCCCGCCAUAUAAUAUCAUUAGAGCACAUUUUUGCUAGACCAAUCCUCGGAUAUUAUGCCUUAAUCCUAACCCAAAGUCUCUGCUUGCCUAGAAAUGUCACAAGGCAGGGCGCCUGGGUGGCUCAGUUGGUUAAGCGACUGCCUUCGGCUCAGGUCAUGAUCCCGGAGUUCCGGGAUUGAGUCCCGCAUCAGGCUCCCU